Molecule: ribosomal RNA, 446 nt
Filed under: uncultured bacterium
Lineage: Bacteria
Description: partial 16S ribosomal RNA
Rfam family: Bacterial small subunit ribosomal RNA
Source: RNAcentral
CCUACGGGAGGCUGCAGUCGAGAAUUAUUCACAAUGGGGGAAACCCUGAUGGUGCGACGCCGCGUGGGGGAAUGAAGGUCUUCGGAUUGUAAACCCCUGUCAUGUGGGAGCAAAUUAAAAAGAUAGUACCACAAGAGGAAGAGACGGCUAACUCUGUGCCAGCAGCCGCGGUAAUACAGAGGUCUCAAGCGUUGUUCGGAAUCACUGGGCGUAAGGCGUGCGUAGGCUGUUUCGUAAGUCGUGUGUGAAAGGCGCGGGCUCAACCCGCGGACGGCACAUGAUACUGCGAGACUAGAGUAAUGGAGGGGGAACCGGAAUGCUCGGUGUAGCAGUGAAAUGCGUAGAUAUCGAGAGGAACACUCGUGGCGAAGGCGGGUUCCUGGACAUUAACUGACGCUGAGGCACGAAGGCCAGGGGAGCGAAAGGGAUUAGAUACCCGGGUAGUC